GUCCACGCCCUAAACGAUGUCAACUAGUUGUCGGGUCUUAAUUGACUUGGUAACGCAGCUAACGCGUGAAGUUGACCGCCUGGGGAGUACGGUCGCAAGAUUAAAACUCAAAGGAAUUGACGGGGACCCGCACAAGCGGUGGAUGAUGUGGAUUAAUUCGAUGCAACGCGAAAAACCUUACCUACCCUUGACAUGUACGGAACGCCGAAGAGAUUUGGCGGUGCUCGCAAGAGAACCGUAACACAGGUGCUGCAUGGCUGUCGU
This 264-nucleotide ribosomal RNA is filed under the name uncultured bacterium. Its description in RNAcentral is "partial 16S ribosomal RNA". It matches the Rfam family "Bacterial small subunit ribosomal RNA", at positions 793 to 1055 of the family's 1533-position model. The record is from RNAcentral.